ACAAGCGGUGGAGCAUGUGGUUUAAUUCGACGCAACGCGAAGAACCUUACCUGGGCUUGACAUCCCGAUCGCACCUUAUGGAAACAUAGGGGUCAGUUUGGCUGGAUCGGUGACAGGUGCUGCAUGGCUGUCGUCAGCUCGUGUCGUGAGAUGUUGGGUUAAGUCCCGCAACGAGCGCAACCCUUGUCCUUAGUUGCCAGCAUUCAGUUGGGCACUCUAAGGAGACUGCCGGUGUCAAACCGGAGGAAGUGGGGAUGACGUCAAGUCCUCAUGGCCCUUAUGUCCAGGGCUACACACGUGCUACAAUGGCCGGUACAGACGGACGCAAAGCCGCGAGGUGGAGCAAAUCCUAAAAAGCCGGUCUCAGUUCGGAUUGCAGGCUGCAAUUCGCCUGCAUGAAGUCGGAAUCGCUAGUAAUCGCAGGUCAGCAUACUGCGGUGAAUACGUUCCCGGGCCUU
This 458-nucleotide ribosomal RNA is filed under the name uncultured Desulfuromonas sp. RNAcentral's name for it is "bacterial SSU rRNA". It matches the Rfam family "Bacterial small subunit ribosomal RNA", at positions 925 to 1382 of the family's 1533-position model. The record is from RNAcentral. Lineage: Bacteria; Pseudomonadati; Thermodesulfobacteriota; Desulfuromonadia; Desulfuromonadales; Desulfuromonadaceae.